GCGGAGUGAUACUCCCGUUCCUUCUUGGACAGAUUGCCUCCACGUUCUUUGUGGAUCUCAAGGUGAUCAAGUCACUGGUGAAUAGAGCGAAGGUUGAGGAGACCUGAGGAAUUUCCAUGUGGCUUUGCCAGGAGUUGUAGCGAUGCUGUGUGUGUGUGCGGAUUUCCCCUCAUGGCAACAUGAGCCUCACAGGCCAAAAGCCCUGUCCGAAAGGACCCACACAGUGGAGCAACCCCAGCUCCCUCCUACAAAGCUUUGUGAGAAUGAACUCAAGUUUAUUCUACUUUAUUCUCUAUUUACAUCAGGCCCCAAAGAUGUCCUGAAGGUACCUUGUGUAUCUGGGCACGAGCACCAUCAGCUACCCGGACUUGUAUUUCGGUACAGACACAUGUGGUGACCCAGCCCCUCUGCUUCGGCAGGGGGGCUUUCGCUCGCUCAGCACGAGAUCUGAUCAGGAGCCCCUCCCAGUGUGCUUUACACCUGGCGAGGGGUUAAAAAUUGCCCAAGGCCUGGCAAAACAACCUAGGGGACUAGGUUUUCCUUUUAUUAAUAAUAUCUG
RNAcentral lists this non-coding RNA (559 nucleotides) under Cosavirus A isolate Human/Pakistan/0553/-. Its description in RNAcentral is "Aphthovirus internal ribosome entry site (IRES)". It matches the Rfam family "Aphthovirus internal ribosome entry site (IRES)". From Rfam's summary of the family: IRES elements allow cap and end-independent translation of mRNA in the host cell. The IRES achieves this by mediating the internal initiation of translation by recruiting a ribosomal 43S pre-initiation complex directly to the initiation codon and eliminates the requirement for eIF4F. Lineage: Riboviria; Orthornavirae; Pisuviricota; Pisoniviricetes; Picornavirales; Picornaviridae. The record is from Rfam by way of RNAcentral.